Molecule: ribosomal RNA, 868 nt
Filed under: uncultured bacterium
Lineage: Bacteria
Description: bacterial SSU rRNA
Rfam family: Bacterial small subunit ribosomal RNA
Source: RNAcentral
GAUGAACGCUAGCGGCAGGCUUAACACAUGCAAGUCGAGGGGCAGCGCGGUAGCAAUACUGGCGGCGACCGGCAAACGGGUGCGGAACACGUACAGAACCUACCUUUACCUGGGGCAUAGCCCGGAGAAAUCCGGAUUAACUCCCCAUAAUAUAGAUGAGUGGCAUCACUUGACUAUUAAAAAUUUAUUGGGUAAAGAUGGCUGUGCGUCCCAUUAGCUAGUUGGUAGGGUAACGGCCUACCAAGGCGACGAUGGGUAGCUGGUGUGAGAGCACGACCAGCCACACGGGCACUGAGACACGGGCCCGACUCCUACGGGAGGCAGCAGUGAGGAAUAUUGGUCAAUGGACGCAAGUCUGAACCAGCCAUGCCGCGUGAAGGAUGAAGGCCUUCUGGGUUGUAAACUUCUUUUAUCUGGGAAGAAAAGCCUGUUUUCUAACGGGUCCGACGGUACCAGAGGAAUAAGCACCGGCUAACUCCGUGCCAGCAGCCGCGGUAAUACGGAGGGUGCAAGCGUUAUCCGGAUUUACUGGGUUUAAAGGGUGUGUAGGCGGGCUUUUAAGUCAGUGGUGAAAUCUCCGGGCUCAACCCGGAAACUGCCAUUGAUACUAUUAGUCUUGAAUUUUGUUGAGGUAGGCGGAAUAAGUCAUGUAGCGGUGAAAUGCUUAGAUAUGACUUAGAACACCAAUUGCGAAGGCAGCUUGCUAAACAAAUAUUGACGCUGAGGCACGAAAGCGUGGGGAUCAAACAGGAUUAGAUACCCUGGUAGUCCACGCCCUAAACGAUGAUUACUCGACAUACGCGAUACACUGUGUGUGUCUGAGCGAAAGCAUUAAGUAAUCCACCUGGGAAGUACGAUCGCAAGAUUG